AUUGAACGCUGGCGGCAGGCUUAACACAUGCAAGUCGAGCGGGGGAAGGUAGCUUGCUACCGGACCUAGCGGCGGACGGGUGAGUAAUGCUUAGGAAUCUGCCUAUUAGUGGGGGACAACAUCUCGAAAGGGAUGCUAAUACCGAAUACGCCCAAGGGGAGAAAGCAGGGGAUCUUGGGACCUGGCGCUAAUAGAUGAGCCUAAGUCGGAUUAGCUAGUUGGUGGGGUAAAGGCCUACCAAGCGGACGAUCUGUAGCGGGUCUGAGAGGAUGAUCCGCCACACUGGGACUGAGACACGGACCAGACUCCUACGGGAGGCAGCAGUGGGGAAUAUUGGACAAUGGGGGGAACCCUGAUCCAGCCAUGCCGCGUGUGUGAAGAAGGCCUUAUGGUUGUAAAGCACUGUAAGCGAGGAGGAGGCUACUCUAGUUAAUACCUAGGGAUAGUGGACGUUACUCGCAGAAUAAGCACCGGCUAACUCUGUGCCAGCCGCCGCCGUAA
RNAcentral lists this ribosomal RNA (501 nucleotides) under uncultured bacterium. RNAcentral describes it as "partial 16S ribosomal RNA". It matches the Rfam family "Bacterial small subunit ribosomal RNA", at positions 30 to 523 of the family's 1533-position model. The record is from RNAcentral.